Molecule: unclassified non-coding RNA, 260 nt
Filed under: Hevea brasiliensis (rubber tree)
Lineage: Eukaryota; Viridiplantae; Streptophyta; Magnoliopsida; Malpighiales; Euphorbiaceae
Source: RNAcentral
UUUUGGCGCAGUUGCAUUUUUUGGUAAACUUCAUUCUGGAUGUGGAAUUAAUGUGUAAAAAAUUUUCAGAUGGCCCGAGUGUUUUACCCUCUUUUGAAUAACUGUCUGCUUUACAAUGAAAUACUGUAACUGGCCUUCACCUUGACAUUCUUCUAGUUAGUACUUAGCAUUGUAUAUUUGGGUGGGGGGAUCUUAAUCUUCUUUGGCUCUCUCCUUCAGAUUAGUUGACAUGAUAUGAUGUAUAAUUAAGCUAUGGUUGA